CAAAGGGAUUACCGGUGGCGGAUGGGCAUGCGGCGCAUUAGCUAGUCGGCGGGGUAACGGCCCACCGAGGCGACGAUGCGUAGGGGUUCUGAGAGGAAGGUCCCCCACACUGGUACUGAGACACGGACCAGACUCCUACGGGAGGCAGCAGUGAGGAAUAUUGGUCAAUGGGCGCGAGCCUGAACCAGCCAAGUCGCGUGAGGGAUGACGGUCCUAUGGAUUGUAAACCUCUUUUGCCGGGGAGCAAGCGUGCGUUCGUGAACGCGCGUCGAGAGUACCCGGAGAAAAAGCAUCGGCUAACUCCGUGCCAGCAGCCGCGGUAAUACGGAGGAUGCGAGCGUUAUCCGGAUUUAUUGGGUUUAAAGGGUGCGUAGGCGGGAUGCCAAGUCAGCGGUAAAAAUGCGGUGCUCAACGCCGUCGAGCCGUUGAAACUGGCGUUCUUGAGUGGGCGAGAAGUAUGCGGAAUGCGUGGUGUAGCGGUGAAAUGCAUAGAUAUCACGCAGAACUCCGAUUGCGAAGGCAGCAUACCGGCGCCCUACUGACGCUGAGGCACGAAAGCGUGGGUAUCGAACAGGAUUAGAUACCCUGGUAGUCCACGCAGUAAACGAUGAAUGCUAACUGUCCGGCUCGAAUGAGCGCUGG
This 642-nucleotide ribosomal RNA is filed under the name uncultured bacterium. Its description in RNAcentral is "bacterial SSU rRNA". It matches the Rfam family "Bacterial small subunit ribosomal RNA", at positions 202 to 842 of the family's 1533-position model. The record is from RNAcentral.